GCAGUCGAGCGGACAGAUGGGAGCUUGCUCCCUGAUGUUAGCGGCGGACGGGUGAGUAACACGUGGGUAACCUGCCUGUAAGACUGGGAUAACUCCGGGAAACCGGGGCUAAUACCGGAUGGUUGUUUGAACCGCAUGGUUCAAACAUAAAAGGUGGCUUCGGCUACCACUUACAGAUGGACCCGCGGCGCAUUAGCUAGUUGGUGAGGUAAUGGCUCACCAAGGCAACGAUGCGUAGCCGACCUGAGAGGGUGAUCGGCCACACUGGGACUGAGACACGGCCCAGACUCCUACGGGAGGCAGCAGUAGGGAAUCUUCCGCAAUGGACGAAAGUCUGACGGAGCAACGCCGCGUGAGUGAUGAAGGUUUUCGGAUCGUAAAGCUCUGUUGUUAGGGAAGAACAAGUACCGUUCGAAUAGGGCGGUACCUUGACGGUACCUAACCAGAAAGCCACGGCUAACUACGUGCCAGCAGCCGCGGUAAUACGUAGGUGGCAAGCGUUGUCCGGAAUUAUUGGGCGUAAAGGGCUCGCAGGCGGUUUCUUAAGUCUGAUGUGAAAGCCCCCGGCUCAACCGGGGAGGGUCAUUGGAAACUGGGGAACUUGAGUGCAGAAGAGGAGAGUGGAAUUCCACGUGUAGCGGUGAAAUGCGUAGAGAUGUGGAGGAACACCAGUGGCGAAGGCGACUCUCUGGUCUGUAACUGACGCUGAGGAGCGAAAGCGUGGGGAGCGAACAGGAUUAGAUACCCUGGUAGUCCACGCCGUAAACGAUGAGUGCUAAGUGUUAGGGGGUUUCCGCCCCUUAGUGCUGCAGCUAACGCAUUAAGCACUCCGCCUGGGGAGUACGGUCGCAAGACUGAAACUCAAAGGAAUUGACGGGGGC
RNAcentral lists this ribosomal RNA (881 nucleotides) under Bacillus subtilis. RNAcentral describes it as "bacterial SSU rRNA". It matches the Rfam family "Bacterial small subunit ribosomal RNA", at positions 57 to 920 of the family's 1533-position model. Lineage: Bacteria; Bacillati; Bacillota; Bacilli; Caryophanales; Bacillaceae. The record is from RNAcentral.